GACGAACGCUGGCGGCGUGCCUAAUACAUGCAAGUCGAGCGAACAGACGAGGAGCUUGCUCCUCUGACGUUAGCGGCGGACGGGUGAGUAACACGUGGAUAACCUACCUAUAAGACUGGGAUAACUUCGGGAAACCGGAGCUAAUACCGGAUAAUAUAUUGAACCGCAUGGUUCAAUAGUGAAAGACGGUUUUGCUGUCACUUAUAGAUGGAUCCGCGCCGCAUUAGCUAGUUGGUAAGGUAACGGCUUACCAAGGCAACGAUGCGUAGCCGACCUGAGAGGGUGAUCGGCCACACUGGAACUGAGACACGGUCCAGACUCCUACGGGAGGCAGCAGUAGGGAAUCUUCCGCAAUGGGCGAAAGCCUGCCGGAGCAACGCCGCGUGAGUGAUGAAGGUCUUCGGAUCGUAAAACUCUGUUAUUAGGGAAGAACAAAUGUGUAAGUAACUAUGCACGUCUUGACGGUACCUAAUCAGAAAGCCACGGCUAACUACGUG
Molecule: ribosomal RNA, 497 nt
Filed under: uncultured bacterium
Lineage: Bacteria
Description: partial 16S ribosomal RNA
Rfam family: Bacterial small subunit ribosomal RNA
Source: RNAcentral